This 8802-nucleotide long non-coding RNA is filed under the name Equus caballus (horse). RNAcentral describes it as "lncRNA (ENSECAG00000044258.1)". The record is from RNAcentral. Lineage: Eukaryota; Metazoa; Chordata; Mammalia; Perissodactyla; Equidae.
AACCCAUACAAGUCUGGAGUUUCAAGCAUUUGCCUUUACUGUUAUGCACUACAAUGCGUUUCCCACUAGGCAUCUUUACAAUGGCUCUGUUAGUAGAUGAGUAUGCAAAUUAUAUUUAUCUCCUGUGUGGGCGUCACUCUGGUCUCUCUGCUCUAUGAGUUUGACUAGGGGUUGCCUAGUGGUAGCUCUACCCCUAGGGCACUUCUAAUGAGAUAAUGUCAUUCAUGUAUUUAUUCAACAAGCAUUUAUUGGAGUGGUUAGUAUGUUUAGGCCUUGGAGAGUGGAAGAUGAUAUCAAUCUGAAUAGGACAUGCUACUGUAGCUUGCAGUGUUUGGGGAAAAAUAGACUCAAGUAUACGACAGUGUGCCAUGUGCUUUUUUAAGGUGUUAUACAGAGGAAGGAGUGACGAAGGUCACCUGGAGGAGUUAGAGAAGCAACAGCGUGUCCUAUGUUCUGACAACACUAAACUUCCCAGCACUCUGCAGUACCUCCAUGCCUUUGUGCUUCUGGAUCCCUCUGCCUAGCCAUCUUCCCUUCUUCCCUGUUCUUGGCAGAAUCACGCCCGUAUUUUAAGGCUGUGGCAGACCCGGGCUAAGAUGGAGAAACUGAGGCCUAAGGAGGUUCAGGGCCAUCCUCCAGGUCACAUGACUAGAACGUCAUACAGCUGGGUAUGUUGAACUCAUUCAGUUCUGACGUCACUGCCUGCAUGUUUCACCACCAUGCUUAUCUGCCUCUCACUGUGCAAUAAUGUUAUAAUUCUUCCCCAUUAGAGGGCUGGUGAGACCAGCGUAUUUCUCCAAAAUAAGCCCGUGAAAGCAUCCUCUGACUCCUGACAAGGCCCAGUGGAGCGGCUCUACCACUUGGAGCAUCAAGCCUCUUCCUCCCUUGAAGAAUGUGCCUCAUGUUCCUACCCACAGGCUUGGACCUGGGGUGCUCCGUGUGUGGCCUGCCCCUGGAUUCUUUGUCUCCACAGGUAGCAUGAGCUCCUGCAGGUAGGCCAGCAGCUGGACAGGUUGGUUUUUGACUGGGGGGUGACCGGAUGACGAGCAUCUGAAAGUUGCAGUGAAAUUACCCGUUGGCUAGAGGUGAGAAUUCCAUCACUGCCCUCCAUUUCUGUUCUGGGAAGGUGGGUAGUCUGGUGGCAGGGAGACGAUCUUGUAACACAUGCCCGCCCAGUUCUACCUGAAUGUGAGAUGUACUGGGUGGCAGUGGAGAGGUGGAUAUACCUCGAACGUGUUGCGUAGAGCCCCCUGGAAGCAGCUCAGUAAAGGCUCCAGUUCUGAGGUGAAGUGUCUGGGCGGACACUGGAGGCUGAAGCUGCCCUUACCUAACUUUGGUGAGUAUAUUCAGAAUGUUCCAGAGCAGUGGUCCCGGACCUGCAGCAUCACCAUAGCCUGGGAGCUUUCUAGAACCACAACUUCUGGGCUCCUCCCCAGCCCUGCAGCUUCAGAAACUCUAGGGUUGGGCUCCAGAAAUCUAAGCUCUAACAAGCUCUCCAGGUGAUUCUGGUGCAGGCUCAAGUUUGAGAACCACUGGUCCAGAGCAAGAACUGGAUUUUAUAGUUCUUAUUGUAAAAUCAGAAAUUCAAAAUAUUUUAUUAUUUCACUUAUUACGGACUUAUGAUAGAAAUCCUACAAUGUGCUUUUAGGAAAAUUAGGAAUAGCAAAAGGAAAAGUUAACAAAAUUGCCCACAAAUCUUCUCUCUUAGCAGGAGAAAAGCAUGAUUAGGGUUUUGGUGUGUUUCUCUUUAGCCCGUUUCCUGCAAAAAUCCUAAUAAAGUUAUCACUAGUUUGCCUUCAUUUGGGUGAGUUAAUGUGAGAAUCACCUCCUGGAUUCAGGCGAGAAGAGGGGAAAGAUAAGGUUGAGACAGCUGGCUCAGUGGUGGAGUCGGGAUCCCCGAUGGGGAUGGGGAGUGUGUGGCUCAAGGCCUCUGUGCCCGCCUUCAUGGAGCCCUGGGGCCGGUGGGGCUUGUCGAGCUGCCCCAGAGGCUGCGGCUCUCGGCUACUCUAAUCCACCUGUGAAUACGGUGCCCCCUUUAUCAUUCUUGUUAGACGGGAUCAGAUUUAUGUCAGCUCAGAAAUCAUUCCAAUGAUCAAAAUAUGUGGAGGGCUGUCAGAGGGAAGAGGGAUUAAUCUCUCUGAUUACAGGAGAAGUGGAGGCCCUUUCAGGGAGGGAAGGAAGCGGGGUGGGUGCGGGAUGGGGUACAUCUUAACUUGGGGUCAGGAAGAGUCUCGAGAUCAGAAUUAAGUGAGAUGGCAGGACUGCCUAAUGAAGGGGAGGGCUCAUGGCCUGAGACCUGCUCGUUCUGAGGAUGAGUUGCACACAGGCAGCCUGCAAGGAAACGAAGCCUGCAGUGUGUCCUGCACGGCCAGCACAGUGCUGACGUUUAACGUCCAGACAUUCCACUGCAGAUCAGGGUAUCUGGUGUCUCUGCAAAACAAGGCGCUCUGGAAACACAGCAGCCAUCUUCCCACAAGGCAGCAAGCAGGGGGAGAUGAGCAGUGGCUGCCCCCUCAGAUGAGGCAUGAGCCCCCCAAUUUGCCCCUUUCCCUCAUCACCCCCUCUGCUCCAUACACUCUUGUUUCCCUGAGUUUGAGUGACAGCUGUCAGUUAGUAUUUCAUUCGUGGUUGUGUUUUCUGACACACCGCCUCCUUGCUGUAUUCAUGUCAAUGAUAAGUAGUAUAAUGUAGUAUUUAAGAGUGCAGAUUCUAGAUCUCAAUUGCUUGGGUUUAGAUCCUGCUCCUGUCUCUCACUGGCUGUGUGACUUUGGGCUAGUUAUUUAACCCGUGUGUGCGUUGUAUUUCCUCAACUUUAAAAUUCAUAAGACAAGGUUGCUAUGAGGAAUUAAUAGGUUAAUCCAGGUGGGAUACAUAGAAUAGUGUCUGGUGGUUAGUCACUAUCCAACUAAAGCUCUACUUAUUAGUGCUAGUGAUCAUAGUUACUACUGCUAGUCAUCAGUUACGUUAUAUACCGGCCACAUCCACAUGUGAGUUACUACUGGUUUAGUGUUCCUUUAGAGCAUCUCUCGUGCUUCCAUACCAUGGGCCCAAAGUCUUCGGAACACAGGGUUUGGGGCACUUUUCCGUCUGGAAUAGAUAUUUGAGACAGGGAGGUUCUGGGCUCCUGGCCAUAUGGAGGCUUCUAGCUGAAUUCAUUCAGAAAUAGUGCUAUCCUCCUUGGCUGGUUGGGACCCUGGUGGGAGCCCUGCAGUCUACCUGUGCAGAGCUGGUGGGAGUGGCAGCAUGGUCAUGUGUGCAUGCGUGUGUGUGUGUGUGUAUGUGCGCAAAAGUGCUUUGCAGAGCAGUCAGUGGACAGUGCAGCAGUGGGGUAAAGAGUCUGUGCUCUAGAGCUGGGUGGCCUCAUUUCAUUCCAGCUCCUCUUUUCCUGGCUGUGACCUGGGGCAAGUCCCUUCGCCACUCUGAGGGUCAGCUUCGCCUCCAUAAAAUGAACACGGUGGUAACUCAGCAGCACAGGCCAUUAUUGAAGGAGGCAGUGUGCGUGUACCAGGCUGGCACACUGCAGACGCUGCAGUUUCGUGCCCUUUCCCUUCUAUUUUCCUAAGGGAAAUGAAGGGCUUGCCAUAGCAUGAGCUUGAACUUAAGCUUGCCAUGUACUGAGAAGGAGCAGAUGGUCCUCAUUUCAGAUCAUCUGGGAGCCUGGGAAAACCAGCUGAUUACUCAGUGUGAGCGCCAGCACGGUCACACGCUCUGAGUCCAGGCACCUGUCUUGAGCUCCUAGGAGCAGAGCUCCAUCCCAGCCCCGACCCCAAGCAAAUGUGCUGCCCCCAGAGCGUGGAGCAGUGCUGCAGUGGCAGUCCUGUGGACUGAACGCAUAAAUGGAUGGCACUCUCACUGUCGGUGACAGACCGGGGGCCGGAGGCGGGACGACAAUGACAGACGGACGGGGGACUCUCAUCCUAAACAUGGGCACCUUCCCUUCCCCAACCCGUUCAUCCAGCAGGCAUGAAUGGCGGGACCAGCAUAGGAAUGGCCUUUGGAGUCUGAAAUGACGGAUUCGGAUAUCUGGCACUCUGUGUAACUCUGGGCAGACCCAUGAGCAGUCUGAGCCUCAGUUUCCCCUUUGCAAAAUGGAAAUUGGACAGUCAAACUGUUGUGGCGAUUAAACACAAUUUGAGGACAAGGCCUGGAACAUCAUAAUUGCUCAAUUAAUAUUAGUUUCCUUUUCCCCUUCCUCUAAUUGUUUUAAAGUGAAGGAAGUGUUUUGGCCUUUGAAAAAAAUCACUUUAUACAUGAAUUAGAUAUUAAAGAAGCUCAUGGUUAAAUACAUCCAUGUCAUCAUAAACUCACUUCAUUCAUCCAUCCAUUCGCUCAUUUUUUUGUUUCAUUUAUUCACUCAAUCAUUCCUUUAAUAGGGACGCCAUUUAUAUGACACCCUUUCUACCAGCACCCUUUAUACAACAAGCCCCUACGAGGCACUAGGGAUGUGAAAAUUAAUAAUACAAAAUUCUUUGCUUGAGGACUUUACAUUCUUUUGAGGGAGACGGAGAAUAGUUACCUAUGCCCUAACUUCAUAUGGUGAGAUAUGCAACUUGCCACUGUUGCAUUAUGGCAUCUGUCCUUGCCUCAUGCAAUCUGUUCCCACUCCUUGUUCGCUCGCCUCCCACCCAGGCAUUAGAUGUGGACACCUUGCAGAGGCUACUUGUUGGUAAAAUGCUCUGUCUGGGCUGAUGGUACAGUUUGAUGAGGUUAAUAGUGAGAUUGCCACUUCCCUUGGCUCCUUCAGGGGUGAACACCAGGCCCCUCCAGCGAGGGAAAGGAGAAUACCAUCCAACUGUUCAUCCCUCCAUUCUUAUAGCAUAGGGACCGAGAGUGAAGAUUCUGGAGCCAGACUGCCUUGGGUCAAAUCCUGGCUCUGCUGCUUAUGAGCUGCAUGAUUUGCAUGAAAUUGCUGAACCAUUCUGGGCCUUGCUUUACUAAUCUACAAAAUGGGGUAGUAAGAGUACUUAAGUGGUUGUAUUGGCUAUCUAUUGCUGUGUAACAUAUUACCCCAAAACUCAGUGGCUUGAAAAACAUUUACCAUCUCACAGUUUUCGUGGGUCAAGGGCUUAGGCACGGCCCAUGUGGGUCCUCUGGCUCUGGGCCUCUCUCAAGGCUGCAGUCACGGGCUCAGCUGUGGCUGCACUGACUUGAAGGCUUGAGGUGGGUCAGGUUCCAAGCUCACUCAAGGCGGUGUUGUCAGGAUACAGUUGCUUUCCGAUGGUUGGGUCUGAGUUCCAGCUCUCAGUUACUCCCACGCUGUUGUCCAGGAGCUUCCCAUGGUCCCUCGCCAUAUGGAUCUCUGCGUAAGGCAGCUCGCAGCGUGUCAGUUUGAUGAUCAGAGAGAGCAAGGGAGAGGAAAAGAGAGAAUGCCAGCCAGCCGGAAGUCCUAGUCUUUUGUCACCUAACCUCAGAGGUGGCAUCCUAUCACUUUUGUGUAUUCUGUUCAUUAGAAGUAAGUCACCAGGUCCAGCCCACACUCAGGGGAGGGGAUUAGACAUGGUGUGACUGCCAGAAGGCGCGAGGGAUCCACGGGAGCCUGUCGGAAACUGCCUCUCACAGUGGUUGUGAGGAUUAAAUGAGUUAUGCGUGUGAAGCAUUUUGAGGAGUGUCAGGGACAUAGUUCACACUUAAUAACUCUUAGCUUAUUGUUAUUACUAACAUUAUUAUUUAUGUCAUUUUUUUCAACAAGUAUUCAUUGUUGCCUACUAUAUCAAAGUCCCCAUCUUCAUUGCUAGUGGAAUUACUAGAGGUGUAACUAGGAGCACAUGAAUUAUAAGUGGAUCCUUCCUCAAAGAACACCCAGUGCCCUGGGGUAUGGAUGUUCAUUUGAAAAACAAAGACCACAGAGUAGAAAAUGAUUGUCCUAUAGUCAGGGGAGGGUAGGGAGGCGGAGCUGGAAGGCCCUGGAUGUGCACAGGGAUUAGCAAUGGCUCAGUUUGCCUGGAAAGCAGGACACUUGAAGGUUGGAAAAUUAGGUUAGUGCCAGAUUGUGACAGCAGUGUGGAGUCCCUCUCCUGUGAAGUGAGAAGCCAGGAAGGACUUUUAAGCUGAGCAAUGUCGUAGGAUAGCUGUAUGGCCUGGAGGGGAGGGGACAAGGUGGAAGGCUCUGGAGCUACCUAUUAAAGUUCAGAAAAGAGGUUAUCUUCUUGGUCACAACAAUCCAAUGGAAAGGAAAUCCAGCGCGAGAAGCCAGUCUAUUUCUCCUUCAAUUCCCUUCUCCAAGUUGUGCCCAUAAGAGACCCCAUUCUCUCCCGCCUAGUCUGAGUACUGCUUAGCUCCUGGAAAACAGUUGUAAGAACUCAGGGCUAAUGUUAAUGAGUCUGAUGCCAGUGCCUUGUUCUGACCUUGGGCACAUCAUUUAACCCUUUGCACCUCAAUUUCCUCAUAUGAAGAUGGGACGAUGUUGCUGACCUUGAAUACUUGACAGUUACACACACACACACACACACACACACACACACAAAUGCUACUAUUUACUGAGUACUUCUUAAGAACUCAACAGUUUUGUGGGCUUUUAUCAUCCCCAUUCUACAGGUGAGGAAACUGACACUCAGAAAGGUUCAUUGAGUGACUUGCUAAUAAUUGGCAGAGCACGACCCCAGGCUAUUUGGCUUCAUAGCCCAUGGCCUCAACAAUCUGCUGGAGCGCCAGUGUCUGAAUGCUUAAUAAGUGGCCCUUCCUUCUCAGCAAACGAGCUCUCAGAGGCAUGGAAAAGUCUGUCUUCCUGAGGAUUACACAUACAAGAUGGCUUGCUUGUAGGGCAGGGGCCAGCUCAGACCUGCCUCAGCUCCUUGCCCAGCUCUGACCAGAGAUGAGGCUCUUAUCCAUACUUGUUCCACGACUGAAGGAAUUUGAAAUUUAUAUAUUCUCCAUUUUUCUCCAUAAUCUGUCGGCCUCUCUUUUUGAGAAGUCACCUUUAAAUCUCUCUGAGCUGUCUUUAUCUAAAUACCAUUUUAUCAGUCAUCGAGCCAUUAGUUGGUACUACUGUAUCUGACUCUAGAUCUGGUGAGACAUCAGAGGGCCCUGUGUGGUCUCCAGGACCGUUUGUGCUCAAGCCAUUUCUAACUGCCCUCUGUGGUGUCCCGGGUAGCAUCACAGGGCAUGGAGGCCCGAAGCUGCCUGGCCACAUUCCAGGACCACAUCCUGGGAAGGCCUCGGUGACAACAUGAAAAUGAUGUUGAAAUCGAGGCUCAGAAACUACAUGAUGCAAGUUCCUCCAGAGAGGUUCUUCAGUCUGGAUUUCAGGAUGGAAAAUGUGUCCUGACUGAGAAGCCAGCAAAGGAAGGUGCUGGAUUCUGAAAGCUCAGGUGGCAGAGAAACUCUCCCCUCUGAGGGUCCUUCAGUGACUGAGGACCAUGUUCCAAGAACACAGCAUGGGAUUUGUUGUCUGCAGGCGAGAUAUAAGAGUGGUUAUCUGUGAGAGGGGGCAUUACAAACAAUUUCUAUUUCUGUUGUGUAUUUUUUUUAUUUUCCAAAUUUUCUAUAAUGAAUGUGUUAUUUUAUAUGCCUUAACAAAAAAUUGUGAUUAGAAAAAUUGCCAUUUAAAAAAAUUGUAGAGGCUGACCUGGUGGUGUAGUGGUUACAUUUGCAUGCUCUGUUUCGGUGGCCCAGGGUUCACCAGUUUGGAUCCUGGACGCAGACCUACAUACCACUCACCAAGCUACGCUGAGGCAGCAUCCCACAUAGAAGAACUAGAAGGACCUCCAACUAGGAUAUACAACUAUGUAUCGGGGAGCUUUGGGGAGAAAGAAAAGAAAGAGGAAGAUUGGCAACAGAUGUUAGCUCAGGGCCAAUCUUUCUCACCAAAAAGCAGAAAAAAUUUUUUUUACAUUUCUGGUCCUUAAAUAACUUGUAAUAGGAAAUCACUGACAUAUUCAAAAUUAUAGAAUCACAUGAAAUUACCAUAAUGAUAAUUUUAGACUUAAUGUACCCAAACCAAAUGCUUAUUUAUUUGUUCCUUUCUCUUCCCAAAUGUCCUCCAACACUGGCUUCCCCAUUUCAGUAAGGAGCUGCUCCCAUUCACCCCGUUGCUCAGGUCAGAGGCCUGGAAUCAUCCAUGACCUCUUCUCUCACCAUGUGUAUCCAGUAACACAGCAGUGAAUCCUGUCUUCUCUGCUUUUGAAAAAUAUCCAGAAGACUUCUUUCCACUGUAACCACACUGGUCUGAGCCAGCAUCAUUUCUCCCCCAGAGUAUUGUGGAGCCUUCUAAUGGGUGAUCUGCCCCGCCCCCAACUUAUUCUUUGCAUGGCGGGGAGAGAGACUUUCUAAAUGUCCCUUCUCUGUCAGAUCUCUCUAUGGAUUCUCAUCUCACCCAGAAUAAAACUCACACAUUAAAUAGCUUCAAAAACAUGAUUUUAAAAAAUGGCUACGUGGGCUGAGUAGUACGAUAUAGGAAGAUAAUUUAUUUACCUAUGAGUGGACCCCCUGUAUUUAUUAAUAGCAUGCCAUGAUUCGCAUAAACAGUGUCUUUCUUUACAUCUCAGAUCAUUUAUCGAAGAUGGAUUCUUAGAGGUAGAACUAUUAAAUAAAGGUAACUAAAUAAAAGAAACUUGUCUGGUUUCAUUAGGGAAGAAGUUGAAUAAUGCUGCCAGUUUAAUUUCUGGAAAGUUUGUUCCAGUUUAUAUUUCCACCAAAUGCGUAUAAGGGUAUCUGGAAAACCAUACCCUCAGCAGCAGUGAAUUUUACAGGUUUGUCCUGUAUUCCAACGUCAUCAUUUAAAAUCUUAACUUCAUAAUUUAAAAUAUUAUAUUUAUUUGUUUUAAUUGCAUUUAUUUUAUUACAAGUGGCUCAUUUAUCUUUUUU